This is a non-coding RNA of Pelobates cultripes (western spadefoot toad), 1822 nucleotides long. The record is from the annotation of a GenBank genome assembly. NCBI's taxonomy places the organism in Eukaryota, Metazoa, Chordata, Amphibia, Anura, Pelobatidae.
AUGGGUUACAGGAGAAUGGGAGCCUUGCUCUGUGACAUGUGGAAAAUCAGGGUAUCAGAGUCGUACAGUGAGGUGUAUUCAGCCCCUAAGUGACAAUACAAAUCGAUCAGUUCAUAGCAAGUACUGCAAUGAAAACCGUCCUGAAGCUAAAAGACCUUGUAAUCGCCAAGCUUGCCCAGCUCACUGGAGAAUAGGUCCAUGGUCACAGGUAUGUGCAAACUAUAUCAGUUAUUUCUCAAAUUGAAGAGAGUUGUUAACCUUGAAAUUUUCAGGGCCCUCAUUCACACCACCACCACAUAUAUUACUAGCCACUUAUGAAUAUGCAAUUAAACAUGUAUACACAGACCUGUCAGUUCACAUACAUGUAAUUAGCUACUCACACAUACACACAUGCAUAACUAGCUCCUGGCACACUUACCUAACAUGUUCAUACACACUCUAACAUACAUACAUUAAUACAAAAUCACAGAAAACUUAUAUUAACAGUCAUAGUAACACACUGACAUUUUUUUUUUUUUUUUUACUUAAAGCCAGUGCUUGCUAGUCAGACACCACAAUAAAACAAUAUUUAAAAUAAACUAGAAAAAAAGCCCAUGGUAGUCAAAAUGACCUCCAUCUAUUGAUGCCUAGUCACUAAAAAGGCCUCGUCCCAGAGAGUGUAACAGUAGUACCCUCUGCACAGUCUGUCUUGAGUGCCCUCACAGCCAGAGAGACUGUCAGUCAACCUGAUGUGCAUUCACAACAGACUGACAAAUCCCUUCCCCGUGUGCCCUAUCCCCUUUCUGGGUAGUACUGCCAAUUUUGGUCUGCCCACGCACCGUCCUGACUUUAUACCUCUUAAAGGACCACUAUAGGCACCUAGACCACUUCAGCUUAAUGAAGUGGUCUGGGUGCCUGGUCCAGCUAGGGUUAACCCCUUUUUUUUUAUAAACAUAGCAGUUUCAGAGAAACUGCUAUGUUUAUAAAUAGGUUAAUCCAGCCUCUAAAGCCUCUAGUGAAUGCUUUCCUAUGAGACAGUCUGAAUGCGCGCACAGCUCCUGCCGCGCAUGCGCAUUCAACUGAAGAGGCGGAGAGGAGGAGGAGGAUGGUGGGGGCACCAUCAGGGCACUAUAGUGCCAGGAAAACGAGUAUGUUUUCCUGGCACUAUAGUGGUCCUUUAAGUACAAGACCUAUCUAGUAAUCUUAUCAUUGACAGUGAGAUAGAGGUAAUACAUUGAGACAUGAAGGAAUUCAAAUUUGCAAACAACAGAGGACAUUUUUUUACAGUAGGAACAAUAAGAUGUGGAGUCAUCUGCCUAAAAAGUUUAUUUAUAAGAUUCUUUACAGAAUUGAAAAAAAAAAGGUUGUAUUGUUGUCCAUGAAAACAAAAAAGAAAUAAUAAACAGGAUGUUUUUUAUUUUUUAUGAAAAGCAGAAUAUUUAACAUAUAAUUAAUACAUUUGGGUACAGCUUGUUAAUCCAGUGAGAAACUGGAUUUCCAUUAUGGAGUCACAAGGGAUUUUUACCUUUUAUGACACAACUGGCAAUAACUUUGAUUUGGGUUUUUCACUUUUUUUUUCCUGAUCAACAGCAUCAGAACAUAUGCAUAGUUAUGUAUAACAUGUAGGCAAGUUGCCUUUUUACUUUUUGUUUUUUUUAGGGGUAUAUUUAAAAUGUUUAAUUUCAUUGCCUGUAUUAUUUUACACUGUAAAGUAUUUUGUGAUCUGAAAGUAAAAAUAUAUUUUUUAUUUUAGUGUUCUGUAACAUGUUCCAACGGUACUCAAGAACGUCAAGUAAUGUGUAGUUCUGAUGACAGUAAAAACUGUAUUGACAAUAAACCUGAC